RNAcentral lists this non-coding RNA (24 nucleotides) under Arabidopsis thaliana (thale cress). Lineage: Eukaryota; Viridiplantae; Streptophyta; Magnoliopsida; Brassicales; Brassicaceae. The record is from RNAcentral.
UCAUCUAGCUCAUUGAUUUCGGUC